This 253-nucleotide ribosomal RNA is filed under the name uncultured bacterium. Its description in RNAcentral is "partial 16S ribosomal RNA". It matches the Rfam family "Bacterial small subunit ribosomal RNA", at positions 524 to 776 of the family's 1533-position model. The record is from RNAcentral.
UACGGGGGGGGCAAGCGUUGUUCGGAAUUACUGGGCGUAAAGGGCUCGUAGGCGGCCAACUAAGUCAAACGUGAAAUCCCUCGGCUUAACCGGGGAACUGCGUCUGAUACUGGAUGGCUUGAGUUUGGGAGAGGGAUGCGGAAUUCCAGGUGUAGCGGUGAAAUUCGUAGAUAUGGGGAGGAACACCGGUGGCGAAGGCGACCAUCUGGACGGAUACUGACGCUGAGACGCGAAAGCGUGGGUAGCAAACAGG